AAUUUCUCUAUGUUGGGCACCGCCAUCUUGCACAUUAAUGUGAGCUGAUCUUUCCUAUGUUGAGGCCCCACACCCCAACGCGCAUUGCCUGUAGAAUUUCUUUUUUGAAAUUCUCUAUGUUGGGGCCCCACACCCCAACGCGCAUUGCUUGUAGAAUUUCUUGUCGAAAUUCUCUGUGUUGGGGCCCCUAUAAUUGAAAAGCGUAUUAUCAUUCAGUCAAUGAUUGCUAAUAUACCAGUAUAGAGAGUCUGGGAUAGGCUCAAU
Molecule: non-coding RNA, 264 nt
Filed under: Staphylococcus aureus
Lineage: Bacteria; Bacillati; Bacillota; Bacilli; Caryophanales; Staphylococcaceae
Description: Staphylococcus sRNA 35 (srn_0335)
Rfam family: Staphylococcus sRNA 35 (srn_0335) (bases 30-248)
About the family: Other name: Srn_0335, SAOUHSCs258. Northern blot transcript confirmed in exponentially growing and stationary cells in three cultivation media. Trans-encoded.
Source: RNAcentral